Molecule: long non-coding RNA, 561 nt
Organism: Gordionus sp. m RMFG-2023
Lineage: Eukaryota; Metazoa; Nematomorpha; Gordioida; Chordodea; Parachordodidae
Exons: 3
Source: RefSeq, a predicted model, not a curated record
AUUUAUAAUUUAAGAUUUAAAAACAAACAACUAUAAAAUUAUUCAAAUGUAACAAUUAAAUAAAUGUAACAAAUUUUGGAGACCUGCAUUAUUAUCCUUCAACUCUUUAGAAGAAUUUUUGUCAGAAUCACCCCAGGAAAAGGAUAUCAAAUACAAAGCCGGAAACAGAUUAGUUAUCUGUCUUAGCAGUUUGAUGGUAGACUCGUUUCCUUACUUCAGGCCGCCACCGUUUUAUGGAGGAUACCCAGGUUUUGGUAACCGAUUCUUCGGCCACGGAGGCUGGGGCCCACCCGGAUAUGGCGGUUGGGGCGGGUUCGGAUACGGUGGUUGGAAUCCAUUUUUUGGCGGAGGUGUUCCAUUCUAUGGAUAACCGGAAGAGAAAUUAUAUACUUGUAUAAAUGAAAAUAUGUAUUAUUCCUCGCAAAAUUUUUUUAAAAUUAUUCUAUAUAUUUUCUGCGAAAUUUCAAUCUACAUAUUUUCUGCGAAAUUAGUGAUUUAUAUAUACAUAUUCCUGAUAAAUUUCUAAUUAUUCUACAUAUUUUCUGCGAAAUUAGUGAUAUU